This is a long non-coding RNA of Melitaea cinxia (Glanville fritillary), 443 nucleotides long. RefSeq lists it as uncharacterized. The transcript is spliced from 2 exons. The record is from RefSeq and is a predicted model, not a curated record. Lineage: Eukaryota; Metazoa; Arthropoda; Insecta; Lepidoptera; Nymphalidae.
UCCGCAUCCAGUGCCACUCGGCAGCUUACAAGCUGCUUCAGGAGCAGUAAACGUUCACGGUGCGGUGCAAGUGAACUCAGCAACUCGUACGCCGCAGGCGACGGCUCAGCUGACCGGCGCGCCUACUGCCUGCGAACGCACGUGUAACAACCCACUGCUGGGCAUAGGCCUCUUUCUUCAUGCAGAAUAAAGAUUGGAGCAUAAUCCACACUCCACUCCACUCCACACUAUAAUAAUAUUAGUACAAAUAUAGAUAGAAGCCUGCACACAAGUCUCAUCUCCGGUUGUUUUACUCGACGAUAUUCAGCGGACACUCUUCAAUACUUCUCGGAGCUCCCACAAGGAAGCCGGUAACUGGAAACGGCAUUUGUAUUUACGUCUUCCGAGGACAUCGACGCUGAUUAAAUUACUUCCAACUCUGAAAUAAAAUGCAAAUACAAAAA